RNAcentral lists this long non-coding RNA (1318 nucleotides) under Homo sapiens (human). Its description in RNAcentral is "HSALNT0167035". The record is from RNAcentral. Lineage: Eukaryota; Metazoa; Chordata; Mammalia; Primates; Hominidae.
UUCUUUGUAUUUUUAGUAGAGACAGGGUUUCACCGUGUUAGCCAGGAUGGUCUCGAUCUCCUGAUAUAGAGGUCAAGUUCUUAAAGAAUAUACUGCCAAGAAAACCAGUGUUUUACAAGUGAGAGAGUUAAGUAAAAGCUCAGAAUUAUCUUCACUGAUAAAGGGCAUGGAUUAUCCCUAAAAUAACUUCUUUCCCUUCUUUUUUACAAAAGUAAUAUUUACGUGUUGCUAGUUAAAAAAAUUUAAGUGAGCAAGAAGAGAAUACCCCCCUUACCAUAAUCCCACAGCCUAAUGCAGAAUCAUAGGUAAUACAGGUUUUUCUGUUAAAUCUCCAUAUACUCAUUCUAGAAGAAUGUCUUGUUCUCUAAAAAUAUACUGCGAAAACAGAAGUUUUGGGAACAAGCCACUCAAAACUUACACAGUUCUUAAGAAUCGGAAUACAGUUUUUCAUAGAACAUAUAAAAAUGGCCAAUAGGGCUGGGUGUGGUGGCUCACGCCUGUAAUCCCAGCACUUUGGGAGGCCGAGGCAGGCAGAUCAUGAGGUCAGGAGAUCGAGACCAUCCUGGCCAACACGGUGAAACCCUGUCUCUACUAAAAAUACAAAAAAUUAGCUGGGCAUGGUGGCGGGCGCCUGUAGUCCCAGCUACUUGGAAGGCUAAGGCAGGAGAAUGGCAUGAACCCGGGAGGUGGAGCUUGCAGUGAGCAGAGAUCGCGCCACUGCACUCCAGCCUGGGCAACAGAGUGAGACUCCGUCUCAAAAAAAAAAAAAAAAAAAAAAAAGGCCAAUAGACAUAUAAAAAGAUGCUCUUAUCAUUAGCCAUUAUGGUAAUGUAAAUCAAAAGCACAAUGAUACACCACUUCAUACCCACUAGGAUGGCAGUAGUCAAAAAGGCAAAUACAUAAUAACAAGUGUUGACAAGGAUGUGGAGGAAUUGGAAUCCUCACACAUUGCUGGUGAGAGUGUAAAAUGGUGCAGCCGCUUUGGAAAACUGUUUAGCAGUUCUUGAAAGGUUAAAUGUAAGAGUCAGCAGCAUGGUAACGGCAAUUUUAUUCCUGUCCCAAGAUAAGGGAAAACAUAUGUCCACACAAAAACUUGUACACAGAUGAUCAUAAUAGCAUUAUUCAUAAUAGCUCAAAAUGCAAACAACCCAAAUGUCCAUCACCUGGUGAAUGGGUAAAUUAAAAGUGGUAAAUAUAUGAUGAAAUGUUAUUUGGCAAGGAAAAGCAAUGAAGUACUGACAUGUGCUACAACAUGGUUGAACCGUGAAAACUUUAUGUUAAGUGAAUGAAGCCAGACACAAAGGACUACAUUUUUUUU